GGGAGGGUGAUGAAUCAAAGACCCAAAAACCAUCGAAAUAACCCCAAAAAAGAGCCAAAAAACUCCUCAAAUUUCAGGGAAUUCUCAGCCCUUUGGUUCAGUGAAGCAAAAAUGACGUUUAAUAGUAAAACAAAUGAUGUUUUUGUAUGAAAAUACGAUGUUUUUUUUCUUCAGAGUCUUUCUGAGUGUAAAAGGCCCUUCAGGAAACGCCUUGAAAUCCGAUAUGGAAAAGGUCCCCGGUGCCGCCCGUGUCGUCAGAGCAUUAAUUAACGUUAAUUGAGGACUAAUGAGAGGUCUGGUGUGUUUUUGGGGUGUCUUUAAUCUUAGGGUGUUGUUACCUGGAGCGGAAAUGCCCCUAAAAUGCAUUAAAAUGGGGUUCGGUUUCCCAUUUAAAGGGCCGAGCGUGGCUGCAGCGUGACUCAGCACUGCUGCAGAAUGGGCUGAAAUAGGGAUAUUUUGGUGCUUUUUGGGCCAAAUUGAGUGAGAAGGGGCGGAUGGGAUGGUGGGGUAAGAACGGGGAUGGGAAACUGCUGGGAAAAGAGGGAAUUAAAUGGGGGAAAAUAAAGAGUUUUCAGCGUUUUCCAACUCACCGAGUGAAAUGAGUGGGGGAAAAAAAAGGUCAAUUUUGGGGUGUUUUCCUUUGUUUAAAAAGGAAAGGGGUUGGAUUUUUAACCCCCAUCCCAAAGAUUUGGGGCCUUUUUUGUUGUUGGGGGGGGGUUGGCAAAAUGCAGUGGGGAUAAAAACGGGGGAGGGGGAAUAAUAUGGGAAUAAAAGGAGCAAAAACAACAGCGAAAACGCUGGAAAAUGGCGUCAGAAAAAGGACGGAGGUGUUUAAAAUGGGGGGAGGGGGGGAAAAAAAGGGGGAAAGGAGAAAAAAAUAAAGUGAAAUUUAACCCUUCCCAUAGUGAAACAAAGGAGGCUGACGUCGUUCCAACAGCAGCGGUUUGGGGGAGGGGGGCACUCCAUAAAAAUAAUAAAAUAAUAAUAAUAAUAAUGAAUAAUAAUAAAAGAGGCUUUGUCGUGCAUGAAGAAGGGGUGGGGGGUGGCUUUUUCUUUCUUUUUUCUUUCAUUUUAGGACAUUUUGGGGGCGUUUGGGGGACUAUUUUACCACCUGCCCCCCCCUUCCCUCCUCCUCCCCCCCUCCUGCGGAGGCAGAGCCGCAGUACAGCAGCUCAGCCCUAUAAAGCUCCACCCCAGCUCGGGGUGUGCAGGGGGAGCAGAGAGGCAGAGGAGCAGGGAAGAGCUGCAGAAAAAAAAAGAAAAUGACUGAAUUUGGGCAAUUUCUGAGAUUGGAGGUUUUUGGGAGAGGUGCAGCGGCUCUGAUUGGCUCUGCAAGCUGUUUGCUUAUUGCUCUGCUUUCCCCUUUUAUUUCAGAUGGGGCUUUGAGAUGAGGAAAAGGAGAGAAGUGAGGAGAAAAAUGUGAGCAUGGAGGAGCGGCAGGGAGAGCAAGCGAGAUUUGAGGUGAAAACGUGGCUUUUUUUGUCAGCUGAAUGGGGGCAGAAAGAGAAGGCUGAGCUUGAAAAUGGGAAGCUGUGGAGCGAAAGCUUUGGCUCUUAAGAGAAGAUGGAUGGAUGGAUGGAAGGAGGAGAAAUGGAGAGCGAAGAGGAAAGGGAGAAGUGAGCAAGAUGGAGGAAACAAAACUGGGUGGCAGUGCGGAAAUGGAAGGAGGUGCAGAGCGAGGUGAGCGACGGCUUCACGCCGACGUGGCCCCAAGCCCGGCCCCCCCAUGGCAACACAGCCAAAAAAGCUGCAUUCUUAACCCAAAACGUGGCAAGAGGAGGAGGAGAAAAGGCGUUUUGGUCCCCGUUGGAGCUGUUUUGGGGGCGUUUUAGGAGAAUUUGGCAUUUCAGAGCCGGGAAGAGCGGAGGCGGCGACGAGGCAGGGAGGAUUUAGAGGAGAAAAAAGGACUUUUUGGUUCAAAAUAUGUAUUGGGGUCCGUAGGACGGAAGGCGGAGGGCAAAAUGGAAACGGGAGCAAAAGAGGAAAUAAUG
Non-coding RNA from Coturnix japonica (Japanese quail), 1991 nucleotides. The record is from RefSeq and is a predicted model, not a curated record. NCBI's taxonomy places the organism in Eukaryota, Metazoa, Chordata, Aves, Galliformes, Phasianidae.